UGCGUAGGCGGACUAAUAAGUCAGUGGUGAAAUCUCUCGGCUCAACCGGGAAACUGCCAUUGAUACUGUUAGUCUUGAGUUCGGUUGAGGUAGGCGGAAUGUGUAAUGUAGCGGUGAAACGCUUAGAUAUUACACAGAACACCAAUUGCGUAGGCAGCUUACUAGACCGACACUGACGCUGAGGCACGAAAGCGUGGGUAGCGAACAGGAUUAGAUACCCUGGUAGUCC
RNAcentral lists this ribosomal RNA (229 nucleotides) under uncultured bacterium. Its description in RNAcentral is "partial 16S ribosomal RNA". It matches the Rfam family "Bacterial small subunit ribosomal RNA", at positions 568 to 796 of the family's 1533-position model. The record is from RNAcentral.